This 24-nucleotide non-coding RNA is filed under the name Arabidopsis thaliana (thale cress). The record is from RNAcentral. Lineage: Eukaryota; Viridiplantae; Streptophyta; Magnoliopsida; Brassicales; Brassicaceae.
GAACCGAUUGGAAAGAGUGGUGGU